Molecule: ribosomal RNA, 484 nt
Filed under: uncultured bacterium
Lineage: Bacteria
Description: partial 16S ribosomal RNA
Rfam family: Bacterial small subunit ribosomal RNA
Source: RNAcentral
AUUGAACGCUGGCGGCAUGCUUUACACAUGCAAGUCGAACGGCAGCGCGGGCUUCGGCCUGGCGGCGAGUGGCGAACGGGUGAGUAAUGCAUCGGAACGUGCCCAGUAGUGGGGGAUAGCCCGGCGAAAGCCGGAUUAAUACCGCAUACGACCUGAGGGUGAAAGCGGGGGACCGAAAGGCCUCGCGCUAUUGGAGCGGCCGAUGUCGGAUUAGCUAGUUGGUGGGGUAAAGGCUUACCAAGGCGACGAUCCGUAGCUGGUCUGAGAGGACGACCAGCCACACUGGGACUGAGACACGGCCCAGACUCCUACGGGAGGCAGCAGUGGGGAAUUUUGGACAAUGGGGGAAACCCUGAUCCAGCCACGCCGCGUGCGGGAAGAAGGGCUUCGGGUUGUAAACCGCUGUUGUUCGGGAAGAAAUCAUGUGGGCUAAUACCCCGGGAGGAUGACGGUACCGGAAGAAUAAGCACCGGCUAACUACGUG